This 465-nucleotide ribosomal RNA is filed under the name Vreelandella stevensii. Its description in RNAcentral is "partial 16S ribosomal RNA". It matches the Rfam family "Bacterial small subunit ribosomal RNA", at positions 338 to 795 of the family's 1533-position model. Lineage: Bacteria; Pseudomonadati; Pseudomonadota; Gammaproteobacteria; Oceanospirillales; Halomonadaceae. The record is from RNAcentral.
CCUACGGGAGGCAGCAGUGGGGAAUAUUGGACAAUGGGGGGAACCCUGAUCCAGCCAUGCCGCGUGUGUGAAGAAGGCCCUCGGGUUGUAAAGCACUUUCAGUGAGGAAGAACGCCUGGUGGUUAAUACCCAUCAGGAAAGACAUCACUCACAGAAGAGGCACCGGCUAACUCCGUGCCAGCAGCCGCGGUAAUACGGAGGGUGCGAGCGUUAAUCGGAAUUACUGGGCGUAAAGCGCGCGUAGGUGGCUUGAUAAGCCGGUUGUGAAAGCCCCGGGCUCAACCUGGGAACGGCAUCCGGAACUGUCAAGCUAGAGUGCAGGAGAGGAAGGUAGAAUUCCCGGUGUAGCGGUGAAAUGCGUAGAGAUCGGGAGGAAUACCAGUGGCGAAGGCGGCCUUCUGGACUGACACUGACACUGAGGUGCGAAAGCGUGGGUAGCAAACAGGAUUAGAUACCCUUGUAGUC